AUUGAACGCUGGCGGCAUGCUCUACACAUGCAAGUCGAACGGUAACAGGCCGCGAGGUGCUGACGAGUGGCGAACGGGUGAGUAAUGCAUCGGAACGUGCCCAGUCGUGGGGGAUAACUACUCGAAAGAGUAGCUAAUACCGCAUACGAUCUAUGGAUGAAAGCGGGGGACCGUAAGGCCUCGCGCGAUUGGAGCGGCCGAUGUCAGAUUAGGUAGUUGGUGGGGUAAAGGCUCACCAAGCCAACGAUCUGUAGCUGGUCUGAGAGGACGACCAGCCACACUGGGACUGAGACACGGCCCAGACUCCUACGGGAGGCAGCAGUGGGGAAUUUUGGACAAUGGGCGCAAGCCUGAUCCAGCAAUGCCGCGUGCAGGAAGAAGGCCUUCGGGUUGUAAACUGCUUUUGUACGGAACGAAACGGCUCUGGUUAAUACCCGGGGCUAAUGACGGUACCGUAAGAAGAAACACCGGCUAACUACGU
This 481-nucleotide ribosomal RNA is filed under the name uncultured bacterium. Its description in RNAcentral is "partial 16S ribosomal RNA". It matches the Rfam family "Bacterial small subunit ribosomal RNA", at positions 30 to 506 of the family's 1533-position model. The record is from RNAcentral.